GACGAACGCUGGCGGCGUGCUUAACACAUGCAAGUCGAACGGGCCUUGUCCCCUUUUUUUUUGGGGGUGGGGUUAGUGGCGAACGGGUGAGUAACACGUGAGUAACCUGCCCCUCACUUCUGGAUAACCGCUUGAAAGGGUGGCUAAUACGGGGUGUUCUGGCCUGCUCGCAUGGGUGGGUUUGGAAAGAUUCGACCGGUUUGGUUGUUUUGGUGGGGGAUGGGCUCGCGGCCUAUCAGCUUGUUGGUGGGGUGAUGGCCUGCCAAGGCUUUGACGGGUAGCCGGCCUGAGAGGGGUGGCGGUCACACUGGGACUGAGACACGGCCCAGACUCCUACGGGAGGCAGCAGUGGGGAAUAUUGCACAAUGGGCGCAAGCCUGAUGCAGCGACGCCGCGUGAGGGAUGGAGGCCUUCGGGUUGUGAACGUCUUUCGCCAGUGAAGAAGGUCCUGCUCUUUGUGGUGGGGUUGACGGUAGCUGGGUUAAUGAAGCGCCGGCUAACUACGUG
This 507-nucleotide ribosomal RNA is filed under the name uncultured bacterium. RNAcentral describes it as "partial 16S ribosomal RNA". It matches the Rfam family "Bacterial small subunit ribosomal RNA", at positions 28 to 507 of the family's 1533-position model. The record is from RNAcentral.